This 495-nucleotide ribosomal RNA is filed under the name uncultured bacterium. Its description in RNAcentral is "partial 16S ribosomal RNA". It matches the Rfam family "Bacterial small subunit ribosomal RNA", at positions 28 to 507 of the family's 1533-position model. The record is from RNAcentral.
GACGAACGCUGGCGGCGUGCCUAAUACAUGCAAGUCGAACGCAGAAGGAGGAGCUUGCUUCUCUGGAUGAGUUGCGAACGGGUGAGUAACGCGUAGGUAACCUGCCUGGUAGCGGGGGAUAACUAUUGGAAACGAUAGCUAAUACCGCAUAAUAUUGACUAUUGCAUGAUAGUCAGUUGAAAGGUGCAACUGCACCACUACCAGAUGGACCUGCGUUGUAUUAGCUAGUUGGUGGGGUAACGGCUCACCAAGGCGACGAUACAUAGCCGACCUGAGAGGGUGAUCGGCCACACUGGGACUGAGACACGGCCCAGACUCCUACGGGAGGCAGCAGUAGGGAAUCUUCGGCAAUGGACGGAAGUCUGACCGAGCAACGCCGCGUGAGUGAAGAAGGUUUUCGGAUCGUAAAGCUCUGUUGUAAGAGAAGAACGAGUGUGAGAGUGGAAAGCUCACACUGUGACGGUAGCUUACCAGAAAGGGACGGCUAACUACGUG